AUUGAACGCUGGCGGCAGGCCUAACACAUGCAAGUCGAACGAGUGGCGGACGGGUGAGUAAUGUAUGGGAAACUGCCUGAUGGAGGGGGAUAACUACUGGAAACGGUAGCUAAUACCGCAUAACAUCAGAUGUGCCCAGAUGGGAUUAGCUUGGUGGUGGGGUAACGGAUCACCAAGUCGACGAUCCCUAGCUGGUCUGAGAGGAUGACCAGCCACACUGUAACUGUGACACGUUCCCAACUCCUACGGGAGGCAGCAGUGGGGAAUAUUGCACAAUGGGCGCAAGCCUGAUGCAGCCAUGCCGCGUGUAUGAAGAAGGCCUUCGGGUUGUAAAGUACUGUCAGCGGGGAGGCGUUACCCGCAGAAGAAGCACCGGCUAACUCCGUGCCAGCCGCCGCGGUAAUUC
This 406-nucleotide ribosomal RNA is filed under the name uncultured bacterium. RNAcentral's name for it is "partial 16S ribosomal RNA". It matches the Rfam family "Bacterial small subunit ribosomal RNA", at positions 30 to 526 of the family's 1533-position model. The record is from RNAcentral.